GUGGGUAUUGCUCAGUGGUAAAGUGCUUGCUUAGUAUGCAUGAGGUCUCCUGGGUUCAAUCCCCAGCACCUCCA
This 74-nucleotide transfer RNA is filed under the name Camelus bactrianus (Bactrian camel). It matches the Rfam family "tRNA". From Rfam's summary of the family: Transfer RNA (tRNA) molecules are approximately 80 nucleotides in length. Their secondary structure includes four short double-helical elements and three loops (D, anti-codon, and T loops). Further hydrogen bonds mediate the characteristic L-shaped molecular structure. tRNAs have two regions of fundamental functional importance: the anti-codon, which is responsible for specific mRNA codon recognition, and the 3' end, to which the tRNAs corresponding amino acid is attached (by aminoacyl-tRNA synthetases). tRNAs cope with the degeneracy of the genetic code in two manners: having more than one tRNA (with a specific anti-codon) for a particular amino acid; and 'wobble' base-pairing, i.e. permitting non-standard base-pairing at the 3rd anti-codon position. Lineage: Eukaryota; Metazoa; Chordata; Mammalia; Artiodactyla; Camelidae. The record is from Rfam by way of RNAcentral. RNAcentral also lists the same sequence under 2 other names.